GAGUUUGAUCCUGGCUCAGGAUGAACGCUGGCGGCAUGCCUAAUACAUGCAAGUCGAACGAGAGGAAGGAAAGCUUGCUUUUCUGAAUCUAGUGGCGAACGGGUGAGUAACACGUAGGUAACCUGCCCAUGUGCCCGGGAUAACUUCUGGAAACGGAUGCUAAAACCGGAUAGGUAGCAGACAAGCAUUUGACUGCUAUUAAAGUGGCUAAGGCCAUGAACAUGGAUGGACCUGCGGUGCAUUAGCUAGUUGGUGAGGUAACGGCCCACCAAGGCGACGAUGCAUAGCCGGCCUGAGAGGGCGGACGGCCACAUUGGGACUGAGACACGGCCCAAACUCCUACGGGAGGCAGCAGUAGGGAAUUUUCGUCAAUGGGGGGAACCCUGAACGAGCAAUGCCGCGUGAGUGAAGAAGGUCUUCGGAUCGUAAAGCUCUGUUGUAAGAGAAAAACGACAUUCAUAGGGAAUGAUGAGUGAGUGAUGGUAUCUUACCAGAAAGUCACGGCUAACUACGUGCCAGCAGCCGCGGUAAUACGUAGGGGGCGAGCGUUAUCCGGAAUGAUUGGGCGUAAAGGGUGCGUAGGUGGCAGAACAAGUCUGGAGUAAAAGGUAUGGGCUCAACCCGUACUGGCUCUGGAAACUGUUCAGCUAGAGAACAGAAGAGGACGGCGGAACUCCAUGUGUAGCGGUAAAAUGCGUAGAUAUAUGGAAGAACACCGGUGGCGAAGGCGGCCGUCUGGUCUGUUGCUGACACUGAAGCACGAAAGCGUGGGGAGCAAAUAGGAUUAGAUACCCUAGUAGUCCACGCCGUAAACGAUGAGAACUAGGUGUUGGGGGAAUAACUCAGUGCCGCAGUUAACGCAAUAAGUUCUCCGCCUGGGGAGUAUGCACGCAAGUGUGAAACUCAAAGGAAUUGACGGGGGCCCGCACAAGCGGUGGAG
This 940-nucleotide ribosomal RNA is filed under the name human gut metagenome. RNAcentral's name for it is "bacterial SSU rRNA". It matches the Rfam family "Bacterial small subunit ribosomal RNA", at positions 9 to 937 of the family's 1533-position model. The record is from RNAcentral.